Molecule: ribosomal RNA, 601 nt
Filed under: uncultured bacterium
Lineage: Bacteria
Description: bacterial SSU rRNA
Rfam family: Bacterial small subunit ribosomal RNA
Source: RNAcentral
CUGACGGGAGCGUUACUGACGCUUAAGCUCGAAAGCGCGGGUAUCGAACAGGAUUAGAUACCCUGGUAGUCCGCGCGGUAAACGAUGGAUGCCCGCUGUUUGCGUCUAACGUAAGCGGCCAAGUGAAAACGUUAAGCAUCCCACCUGGGGAGUACGCCGGCAACGGUGAAACUCAAAGGAAUUGACGGGGGCCCGCACAAGCGGAGGAACAUGUGGUUUAAUUCGAUGAUACGCGAGGAACCUUACCCGGGCUUGAAUUGCUGAGGAAAGAUCCAGAGAUGGUGAUGCCCUUCGGGGCCUCAGUGAAGGUGCUGCAUGGUUGUCGUCAGCUCGUGCCGUGAGGUGUCGGCUUAAGUGCCAUAACGAGCGCAACCCCUCUCUUCAGUUUCCAUCAGGCUAUGCUGGGCACUCUGGAGACACUGCCACCGCAAGGUGUGAGGAAGGUGGGGAUGACGUCAAAUCAGCACGGCCUUGACGGCCGGGGCUACACACGUGUUACAAUGGGGGGCACAGAGAGCGGGGUGCGCGCAAGCUUGCCCAAAUCCUUAAAUCCCCCCACAGUUCGGACUGGGGUCUGCAACCCGACCCCACGAAGCUGGAU